This 465-nucleotide ribosomal RNA is filed under the name uncultured bacterium. RNAcentral's name for it is "partial 16S ribosomal RNA". It matches the Rfam family "Bacterial small subunit ribosomal RNA", at positions 338 to 795 of the family's 1533-position model. The record is from RNAcentral.
CCUACGGGCGGCAGCAGUGGGGAAUAUUGCGCAAUGGGCGAAAGCCUGACGCAGCGACGCCGCGUGAGGGAUGAAGGUCUUCGGAUCGUAAACCUCUGUCAGCAGGGAAGAACGGUCACUGUGCUAAUCAGCAGUGAAUUGACGGUACCUGCAAAGGAAGCACCGGCUAACUCCGUGCCAGCAGCCGCGGUAAUACGGAGGGUGCGAGCGUUAAUCGGAAUUACUGGGCGUAAAGCGCUCGUAGGCGGUAUGUCAAGUCAAGGGUGAAAUCCCCGAGCUCAACGUGGGAAUUGCCUUUGAAACUGGCAAACUGGAGUGUGUGAGAGGAUGGUGGAAUUCCAGGUGUAGGGGUGAAAUGCGUAGAUAUCUGGAGGAACAUCGGUGGCGAAGGCGACUAUCUGGCACAUAACUGACGCUGAGGAGCGAAAGCGUGGGUAGCAAACAGGAUUAGAUACCCGAGUAGUC